This is a long non-coding RNA of Camellia sinensis, 2691 nucleotides long. RefSeq lists it as uncharacterized. NCBI's taxonomy places the organism in Eukaryota, Viridiplantae, Streptophyta, Magnoliopsida, Ericales, Theaceae. The record is from RefSeq and is a predicted model, not a curated record.
UAGGUGAGGGUUGUCACAUCUAUGUUACCGGCGUGGAUGAUUGAACUCAUUCUUCUCAUUCGCCAAAGAAUUUCCCCCCAACAGAAGACGUGCUAGGCAAACAGAACUUGAAGCAUUGGAAGUGAAUGUCUUUGUGGAGGAGGAUGACCAUAUCGAUGUGAAUAAUGAUUAUGUUGACGACGAUGUCGGUGUGGAGAAUGACGAUGUCGAUAAUGAUAUUGGUGUAGAGGCUGACCUCAUGGAUGACGAUAUUGGUGUAGAUGAUGACAACACAUAACCAGUUUCGGGUGCUCCAGAAGAUCCUUCGUUGCUAAUUAGCUUUCGUAACCAUGUUGCUGCUGUUUGGAAGAAAAAGAAAUGGUUAGUGGUGUCUCACAUAAGAGACCAACGGCAUCCAACAGAAGAUGUGCUAGGCAAACAGAACCUAAAGUAUUGGAAGUGAAUGUCCCUGUGGAGAAGGAUGACCAUGUCGAUGUGAAUAAUGAUUAUGUUGAUGACGAUGUUGGUAUGGAGGAUGACAACGUCGAUAAUGAUAUUGAUGUAGAGGCUGACCUCAUGGAGGACGAUAUUGGUGUGGAUGAUGACAACACAUAACCAGUUUCGGGUGCUCUAGAGGAUCCUUCAUUGCUAAUUAGCUUCCGUAACCAUGUUGCUGCCGCUGUUUUGAAGAAAAAGGAAUGGGAACCUCUUAAAUGUUUGAAUCGUUCUCGAAAGCUUGCCGAGUGGCCAUGGAUGUCACCAAUAGUCAAAAAUGCUUGGUGGAGACAUUUAGUUGAUCAGUUUAGUCUUAGUGUCCUUAUUGAUCACACAUAUCGGUAUGGCAAUAGAGUGGCAAUAUUUGCCUUUGUCGAAAGGUGGCAUCCAAAGACAAAUACAUUUCACAUGCCAGAUGGUGAGAUGACUAUCACGUUGGAUGAUGUGCGGACCAUACUUGGCAUUCCAGUCACUGGUAGGGCUUUGUCAUGUCCUAAGUCAACAAGAUACGAGGUUGCUGAACUAGUGAGUGCUACUUUGGGAGUGUCAGUGAAUGAUGCAUUUGCAUAAUUAGUUCAAUCUCGUGGGCAAUCCGUGAAGCUAGAGUGGUUAAGAAUCAUAUUUCAUGAAGUUAAAGAUACAAAUGAUGCAAAUUUCAUAUAAUACGCAGCCAAGCUUACUUGCUAUAUUUAUUAGGUUGUACCCUCUUCGCUGACAAGAGUGGGACUCGAGUACCCGUUGCUUACCUGCACAUGUUGACUAACAUUGAUGCUGUUAGCUCAUAUGUAUGGGGUGCUGCAGCUUUGGCAUUUCUGUAUAGGCAAUUAGGACUUGCUAGUAGGGCUGGUGUUAAGCAGAUUGCUAGUUACUUGAAGCUAUUAGAAGCAUGGAUUUAUGAGCUUGUUCGUUUAGGAAGGCCUCAUCCAAAUUUGUCCUAUUUUGAUGCACAACCUUGUGUUUGUCGUUGGAGUUCGUAGAGAGAUGGGGGUUUUACAGAAGACCACUUGCAGACAUUAUGAGAGUAGCUUGACAUAUUACGUGAUAAUGAGGUUAGGCAUUUUAUAAUAGUGUCAUAUUGUUAAAAAAAAAAAAAGGAUUUUAUAACUAACAUUAUGCAUUGCAUAUUUGUAGAUCAAGUGAGAUCCAUACUGUUUAUGUAGUACACACCAUCCGCUUUAUGAGGUUGCAUAUUAUAUUGGAUGUUUGAAAUGCUUUAAUAUUAUCGAACCCUAUCACCCCAAUACGGUUUUGCGAUAGUUUGGUAGGGUCUAAACCAUCCCACCAGCACCAUUAUCUCCUGUUCGAGCUACACGAGGCAGUAAACUAGGACAGUACAAAAUCAUGUAUCAAUACCAUGACACGAUAUGGGUGCAAUGGGAGAAUCAUGUGUUGUCCAUUAAUGCUCGUAGUGUGCCUGUACAGUAAAGCCCAUCUGAAUCUGUACGGGGUUACCGUUAGUAGUAUGCUCGUGUUUCGCACCGGGUUGUUCAAAAUCCUACGCAUCACUCUCAGUUUGAUGCACGUGUUCAACGUCCCGAGAAUGAUGUUAAUAUGGAUCCUGAGUGGGUAAGCGAAUUAUGAAUUAACUUAUUUCACUUUUAAGUGGUUCACAUAAAUCAAACACUAGGUACGGUUUUUAUGAAUUUCUUUUCAACGUAAUGAUGCUGCUUUCAGUGUUGGUGCUGCAGUCCAUAGGCUCGGUCGUGAUGAGUGUGUCUUGCACCCUGAUAUGUUGUAUGAAACCAUUGGUAGGAUGCUGCAAGUUCUUGAUGGACAGAGUUUGGGAUCUACAUCGACACGUACAGAGCAUCAAGUCUACUGUUGUAAACGUCGUAGGAUGGACCAUGCAUGAGGAGUGGGAUCUAGUUUUUUUUUUUUUUAUGUCAUAGAUAUGCGUUGACCGUACAUGAGAGUUGGGAUCUAGUUUUUGUUUGAUGGCAUAGUUUUUGUGAAUGCCUAGCCCGUAUAGAGUUUGGGAUAUACUUUUGUGUUGACCAUACAUGAGAGUUGGGAUCUAGUUUUUUUUUUUUUUUUUUUUUAUGGCAUAGUUUUUGUGAAUGCCUAGCCCGUAUAGAGUUUGGGAUAUACUUUUGCCUAAUGGCAUAGUUUUUGUGGAUGUCUUGAAUCUUUGGUAAACUAGAUGUUUGGUUAGACAAGUAAUAAAGUGUCAUACUUUUGUAUGAAUUUUAAACAAUUUCACAUUUAUUUUGUAUUCAA